RNAcentral lists this ribosomal RNA (497 nucleotides) under uncultured bacterium. RNAcentral describes it as "partial 16S ribosomal RNA". It matches the Rfam family "Bacterial small subunit ribosomal RNA", at positions 28 to 507 of the family's 1533-position model. The record is from RNAcentral.
GAUGAACGCUGGCGGCGUGCCUAAUACAUGCAAGUCGAGCGAACGGACGAGAAGCUUGCUUCUCUGAUGUUAGCGGCGGACGGGUGAGUAACACGUGGAUAACCUACCUAUAAGACUGGGAUAACUUCGGGAAACCGGAGCUAAUACCGGAUGAUAUUUUGAACCGCAUGGUUCAAAAGUGAAAGACGGUCUUGCUGUCACUUAUAGAUGGAUCCGCGCUGCAUUAGCUAGUUGGUAAGGUAACGGCUUACCAAGGCAACGAUGCACAGCCGACCUGAGAGGGUGAUCGGCCACACUGGAACUGAGACACGGUCCAGACUCCUACGGGAGGCAGCAGUAGGGAAUCUUCCGCAAUGGGCGAAAGCCUGACGGAGCAACGCCGCGUGAGUGAUGAAGGUCUUCGGAUCGUAAAACUCUGUUAUUAGGGAAGAACAUAUGUGUAAGUAACUGUGCACAUCUUGACGGUACCUAAUCAGAAAGCCACGGCUAACUACGUG